This 439-nucleotide ribosomal RNA is filed under the name uncultured bacterium. RNAcentral describes it as "bacterial SSU rRNA". It matches the Rfam family "Bacterial small subunit ribosomal RNA", at positions 355 to 786 of the family's 1533-position model. The record is from RNAcentral.
UAGGGAAUUUUCGUCAAUGGGGGAACCCUGAACGAGCAAUGCCGCGUGUGUGAAGAAGGUCUUCGGAUCGUAAAGCACUGUUGUAAGUGAAGAAUGCCAUAUAGAGGAAAUGCUAUGUGGGUGACGGUAGCUUACCAGAAAGCCACGGCUAACUACGUGCCAGCAGCCGCGGUAAUACGUAGGUGGCAAGCGUUAUCCGGAAUCAUUGGGCGUAAAGGGUGCGUAGGUGGCACGAUAAGUCUGAAGUAAAAGGCAACAGCUCAACUGUUGUAUGCUUUGGAAACUGUCGAGCUAGAGUGCAGAAGAGGGCGAUGGAAUUCCAUGUGUAGCGGUAAAAUGCGUAGAUAUAUGGAGGAACACCAGUGGCGAAGGCGGUCGCCUGGUCUGUAACUGAGCACUGAGUGCACGAAAGCGUGGGGAGCAAAUAGGAUUAGAUACC